RNAcentral lists this transfer-messenger RNA (351 nucleotides) under Dehalococcoidia bacterium. It matches the Rfam family "transfer-messenger RNA". From Rfam's summary of the family: Bacterial tmRNA, also known as 10Sa RNA or SsrA, is named for its dual tRNA and mRNA-like properties. Its role is to liberate the mRNA from a stalled ribosome. The record is from RNAcentral. Lineage: Bacteria; Bacillati; Chloroflexota; Dehalococcoidia.
GGGGACGAAUGGGUUCGACAGGGGAGCGCUGAAUCGGGAUUGCAGGCCGAGGUUGCUAUCACCUCGUUAAACAGGUAGCAAAAUACAACUGCCGAAGCAGUUCCAGUCGCAGCCUAAAUAAGGCAGCCGUCUGACCCCAUCUCACCCCGAUGGGUGGGAAUCAGGCGUCGAAAUGUCGGGGUGCGGCGUGCCCGAUUCUGAUAGGGAGCGUCAAAGAAAAACUCAGAUUGUCCUGCCGCAGUUGGUCGGUUCCGGACGGCGGGAUGAAAAAAACGAAGCCGGAUAAACCUGUAGCAUAUCUCGGGCGGUCUUCUUCUGGACGGGGAGUUCAACUCUCCCCCGUCUCCACCA